RNAcentral lists this ribosomal RNA (433 nucleotides) under uncultured bacterium. RNAcentral's name for it is "partial 16S ribosomal RNA". It matches the Rfam family "Bacterial small subunit ribosomal RNA", at positions 29 to 507 of the family's 1533-position model. The record is from RNAcentral.
AACGAACGCUGGCGGCAGGCCUAACACAUGCAAGUCGAGCGAGGACUUCGGUCCUAGCGGCGGACGGGUGAGUAACGCGUGGGAACGUGCCCUUUGCUUCGGAAUAGCCCUGGGAAACUGGGAGUAAUACCGGAUGAGCCCUUUGGGGGAAAGAUUUAUCGGCGAAGGAUCGGCCCGCGUUGGAUUAGGUAGUUGGUGGGGUAAUGGCCUACCAAGCCGACGAUCCAUAGCUGGUUUGAGAGGAUGAUCAGCCACACUGGGACUGAGACACGGCCCAGACUCCUACGGGAGGCAGCAGUGGGGAAUCUCAGACAAUGGGGGAAACCCUGAUCUAGCCAUGCCGCGUGAGCGAUGAAGGCCUUAGGGUUGUAAAGCUCUUUCAGCUGGGAAGAUAAUGACGGUACCAGCAGAAGAAGCCCCGGCUAACUCCGUG